RNAcentral lists this non-coding RNA (196 nucleotides) under Bombilactobacillus mellifer. RNAcentral's name for it is "Lactobacillus mellifer T-box sequence". It matches the Rfam family "T-box leader". Rfam says of the family: Uncharged tRNA acts as the effector for transcription antitermination of genes in the T-box leader family. T-boxes are found upstream of many aminoacyl-tRNA synthetase genes and some amino acid biosynthetic genes usually in Gram-positive bacteria. The record is from RNAcentral. Lineage: Bacteria; Bacillati; Bacillota; Bacilli; Lactobacillales; Lactobacillaceae.
ACAACGACUUUGAAGGAAAGUAGUAAUACGUUUGAUUUAUUAACAGGGACAGUUGGUAAGGUGAGAGCAGCUGAUUAAAUCUUGUAUGAAUUCAUUCUGGAGUUGAAAACGUGUGUCGGCGUUAGACGACAAACAAGUGUGUCAAAGUGUUUUCUUUUUGGCAAACGAGGGUGGUACCGCGAGCUUCGUCCCUGAG